AAUAUUGCACAAUGGGGGAAACCCUGAUGCAGUCCAUGCCGCGUGUGUGAAGAAGGCCUUUCGGGUUGUAAAAGCACUUUUCAGUAGGGAGGUAAGGUAGUGUAGUUAACACCUGCACUAUUUGACGUUACCUACAGAAGAAGCACCGGCUAACUCCGUGCCAGCAGCCGCGGUAAUACGGAGGGUGCGAGCGUUUAAUCGGAAUUACUGGGCGUAAAAGCGCAUGCAGGCGGCCUGUUAAGUCAGAUGUGAAAGCCCGGGGCUUAACCUCGGAAUUGCAUUUGAAACUGGCAGGCUAGAGUCUUGUAGAGGGGGUAGAAUUUCAGGUGUAGCGGUGAAAUGCGUAGAGAUCUGAAGGAAUACCAGUGGCGAAGGCGGCCCCCCUGGACAAAGACUGACGCUCAGAUGCGAAAGCGUGGGGAGCAAACAGGAUUAGAUACCCCUGGUAG
This 449-nucleotide ribosomal RNA is filed under the name uncultured bacterium. RNAcentral describes it as "bacterial SSU rRNA". It matches the Rfam family "Bacterial small subunit ribosomal RNA", at positions 360 to 793 of the family's 1533-position model. The record is from RNAcentral.